This 531-nucleotide ribosomal RNA is filed under the name Omoedus cf. durvillei JXZ-2013. RNAcentral describes it as "partial 16S ribosomal RNA". The stretch from base 136 to 434 matches the Rfam family "Bacterial large subunit ribosomal RNA", at positions 2074 to 2646 of the family's 2925-position model. Lineage: Eukaryota; Metazoa; Arthropoda; Arachnida; Araneae; Salticidae. The record is from RNAcentral.
AGCCGCAAUUUGUGCUAAGGUAGCAUAAUCAUUUGUCUUUUAAAUGAAGACUAGAACAAAAGAUUUAACAUUUUAAUUUAUUUAUUCAUUCUAAUUCUCAAAAUUAUUUUUAAUGUAAAAAGACAUUAAUAUAAAAGAAAGACGACAAGACCCUAUUGAACUUAACUUCAGUUUUACUGGGGCAGUAAAUUAAUUAUAAUUUUAAUUCAAAAGUAAACAUAAUCAUUUAAUUAUAUUAAAUUUAAUCAGUUACCAUAGGGAUAACAGUGCAAUUAUAUUCACAAAGUCCAUAUUUAAAAUAUAGAUUACAACCUCGAUGUUGAAUUAAUAUCCUAAAUUAAAGCAACCUUUAAAUAAAGGAAGUCUGUUCGACUUUUAAAAAAUUACAUGAUUUGAGUUCAGACCGGUAUAAGCCAGGUCGGUUUCUAUCUUCUAAAUAAUUUUCUACAGUACGAAAGGACACAGAAACAUAAUUUAAUUAAAUUAUAUUGGCAGAAAAAUGCAUUAGAAUUAGAAUCUAACCAAACUUUU